RNAcentral lists this transfer RNA (93 nucleotides) under Streptomyces malachitofuscus. RNAcentral's name for it is "tRNA-Pro". The record is from RNAcentral. Lineage: Bacteria; Bacillati; Actinomycetota; Actinomycetes; Kitasatosporales; Streptomycetaceae.
GCAAGCCCUAGCUCGGCGUUCGACCUCGCCGGCUUUGGGCGGUGGCGGCAGACGAGUCGGGCUGUACGCCGGGUUCUGUUCCCGGGGUUCCUC